UCAAACAAAAACACAACAAACGUCACACUUUCUGUCUCUUUCUAUUCCUCCCUUUAUUUUUCAAACCCUUUAAAACCACACAGACACAAAAUCCCAUAUUCCCCUUUUCGUCGUUACUAUGUCAGACACCGAAACCACACCCAACCAACCCUCCUCUCCACCGCAAACGGAGGCUCCGCCGCAGCCAGACCCCUCCGCAGCUCUUUCCUUCACCAUAUGGCCCCUCACCGGGCGCACCCGCGAUGCCAUCGUUAACCGCCUCAUCGAGACCCUCACCACCUCCUCCGUACUCUCCAAACGCUACGGCACUCUCUCAUUCGACGAAGCCUCCGCCGCCGCUCGCCAGAUCGAGGGGGAAGCCUUUUCCGCCGCGGAUGCCUCCGCCGCGACCUCCGCCGAUGGCAUUAAGACCCUCCAGUUCUACUCCAAGGAGAUCAGCAAGCGCAUGCUCGACACUGUCAAGACCAGAGCUCCGCCGGGUUCCUCCGCCGUAGAGGGCGUCGCCACUGUCGUCUCCGAAUAACCUUUGUUCUGCGUCAUUGUAGAACUGGAAGGUCCGCGGAUGUAAAAUUACUUGCUCUGGCUUAGUCGGAUUCGUAUGAAAAAUUUUCACGUUUCUAACUUUACAGUCUCGUUUGAGUGUGCGCAUGCUUUUGUUGCAUCAACUUAUGCACUACAAGAGUAGAUGAUGCCAAUCAUUUGUUAUCAUAGCAGCUUCUUCAUUGGAUUAUGUGCUGAUUGAUAUCACAUUUAAGGUCAUCUCUUUGUUUUUGUAACCUGUGCCCAACCUUUUACAUAAGCAGCAAUCUUGGACUAACAUAUGCAUACCUCUCUACACUUGUGAUUUAAGAUGAAAGUUGCUCCAUUUUGCAUACUGAUUAACUAAUUGUAUCUAUGUGUAUACAAUGGUUAUCCUUGUGAGGUUUUAGCUUUCCAAGUUGUGAAAAUCAGAUUGACAGGGACAUAGUAUUAGUGCUUUAUUCACAGCAUGUUCGUUUGCUCAGUGACAUUAAUGUAUUAUUCUGUGAUAGUAUGAGACCAUGGACUGGCUGUGUCAAGUUUUGAAUUUCAUUUAUGGUGUGUUGUGGUGACAGUCUAUGUGAAGAAUAAGUUUCACAU
Vigna radiata var. radiata (mung bean) is the source of this 1119-nucleotide RNA transcript. It is a transcript of the gene named MFP1 attachment factor 1, with no coding region annotated. The record is from RefSeq and is a predicted model, not a curated record. The transcript is spliced from 2 exons. NCBI's taxonomy places the organism in Eukaryota, Viridiplantae, Streptophyta, Magnoliopsida, Fabales, Fabaceae.